UACGGGGGGGGCAAGCGUUGUUCGGAAUUACUGGGCGUAAAGGGCUCGUAGGCGGCCAACUAAGUCAGACGUGAAAUCCCUCGGCUUAACCGGGGAACUGCAUCUGAUACUGGAUGGCUUGAGUUCGGGAGAGGGAUGCGGAAUUCCAGGUGUAGCGGUGAAAUGCGUAGAUAUCUGGAAGAACACCAAUGGCGAAGGCACCAUCCUGGGAAGCAUCUGACGCUCAGGUGCGAAAGCUAGGGGAGCGAACGGG
RNAcentral lists this ribosomal RNA (253 nucleotides) under uncultured bacterium. RNAcentral's name for it is "partial 16S ribosomal RNA". It matches the Rfam family "Bacterial small subunit ribosomal RNA", at positions 524 to 776 of the family's 1533-position model. The record is from RNAcentral.